Molecule: ribosomal RNA, 253 nt
Filed under: uncultured bacterium
Lineage: Bacteria
Description: partial 16S ribosomal RNA
Rfam family: Bacterial small subunit ribosomal RNA
Source: RNAcentral
UACGAAGGGGGCUAGCGUUGCUCGGAAUCACUGGGCGUAAAGCGCACGUAGGCGGACUCUUAAGUCGGUGGUGAAAUCCUGGAGCUCAACUCCAGAACUGCCUUCGAUACUGGGAGUCUCGAGUCCGGGAGAGGUGAGUGGAACUGCGAGUGUAGAGGUGAAAUUCGUAGGUAUUCGCAAGAACACCAGUGGCGAAGGCGGCUCACUGGCCCGGUACUGACGCUGAGGUGCGAAAGCGUGGGGAGCAAACAGG